GAUGAACGCUGGCGGCGUGCCUAACACAUGCAAGUCGAACGGAGUUAAACGCUGAAUUGAUGGUAGCUUGCUAUUGGAUUUUCUUGUUUAACUUAGUGGCGGACGGGUGAGUAACACGUGAGCAACCUGCCUUUCAGAGGGGGAUAACGGCUGGAAACGGUCGCUAACACCGCAUGAUAUAUUCGAGUGGCAUCGCUUGAAUAUCAAAGGAGCAAUCCGCUGAAAGAUGGGCUCGCGUCUGAUUAGAUAGUUGGUGGGUAACGCCUACCAAGUCGACGAUCAGUAGCCGGACUGAGAGGUUGAACGGCCACAUUGGGACUGAGAUACGGCCCAGGACUCCUACGGGAGCAGCAGUGGGAAUAUUGCACAAUGGGGAAACCCUGAUGCAGCAAC
RNAcentral lists this ribosomal RNA (393 nucleotides) under uncultured bacterium. RNAcentral's name for it is "bacterial SSU rRNA". It matches the Rfam family "Bacterial small subunit ribosomal RNA", at positions 28 to 395 of the family's 1533-position model. The record is from RNAcentral.